Molecule: ribosomal RNA, 497 nt
Filed under: uncultured bacterium
Lineage: Bacteria
Description: partial 16S ribosomal RNA
Rfam family: Bacterial small subunit ribosomal RNA
Source: RNAcentral
GAUGAACGCUGGCGGCGUGCCUAAUACAUGCAAGUCGAGCGAACGGACGAGAAGCUUGCUUCUCUGAUGUUAGCGGCGGACGGGUGAGUAACACGUGGAUAACCUACCUAUAAGACUGGGAUAACUUCGGGAAACCGGAGCUAAUACCGGAUAAUAUUUUGAACCGCAUGGUUCAAAAGUGAAAGACGGUCUUGCUGUCACUUAUAGAUGGAUCCGCGCUGCAUUAGCUAGUUGGUAAGGUAACGGCUUACCAAGGCAACGAUGCAUAGCCGACCUGAGAGGGUGAUCGGCCACACUGGAACUGAGACACGGUCCAGACUCCUACGGGAGGCAGCAGUAGGGAAUCUUGCGCAAUGGGCGAAAGCCUGACGGAGCAACGCCGCGUGAGUGAUGAAGGUCUUCGGAUCGUAAAACUCUGCUAUUAGGGAAGAACAUAUGUGUAAGUAACUGUGCACAUCUUGACGGUACCUAAUCAGAAAGCAACGGCUAACUACGUG